This is a long non-coding RNA of Dioscorea cayenensis subsp. rotundata (Guinea yam), 386 nucleotides long. RefSeq lists it as uncharacterized. Lineage: Eukaryota; Viridiplantae; Streptophyta; Magnoliopsida; Dioscoreales; Dioscoreaceae. The transcript is spliced from 2 exons. The record is from RefSeq and is a predicted model, not a curated record.
AAGGUUGAAGCACGGCGCAUUUUCAUUUUUGAAGUUAACUGCUGGAACAGUGAGAUCUAGUCUUCGCUCUAGUACUUUGAGGAAAUUAUUGUUUCUAGUUUGUCGAACUUCUCAUAUUUAACUUUCUAAAUCUCUGUCCCAAUUCUGUUUUAGCCUAAAUGGAUGGCACCAGCAGUGUUGUGUAACGAACCAUCAAAUGAGAAGUUUGGCCCCAAUUGAAAACCAGGGGACAACAAAUAGACAAAUAUGGAAAGACUGUAUGGCUAAUUGUGAGCAAAAGGGAUUGAACUUGAGUUGUUUGGUUUUAAGUUGUGUAAAUAAUAGUGAUGGCACUUGAGUUACCGAAGGAUGCAUGAAUGUCAUGAACUAGAUUCCAUUUCCUUGAA